RNAcentral lists this ribosomal RNA (97 nucleotides) under uncultured bacterium. Its description in RNAcentral is "partial 16S ribosomal RNA". It matches the Rfam family "Bacterial small subunit ribosomal RNA", at positions 1386 to 1482 of the family's 1533-position model. The record is from RNAcentral.
CACACCGCCCGUCACAUCAUGGAAGUCUCUUGUUCCCGAAGUCAAAUGGUCAACCGCAAGGAAACCAUUGCCUAAGGAAUGAGCGGUAACUGGGAUG